UUCUGAGUCCUUCCUGCAUAUCAGGCAGGGACAAACGGGAAAGUCCCUGCCCUUGGCAAGUGCGGGGGAAAUGAAAUGAUUCUGCUCAGCCUCAUCCAUUGGUCUGAACAAUCACGUCUCAUGACCCCAGGGACACGGCUUCCCCUGAACGCGGAUCCUAGAGGCCAGGCAGAAGCAGCAUGGGUUUCCACUCACACGAUUUAUCUACUGCUCGUGAAAUCUCUGGAUUUAACUGUGAUGAAAGACCGGAGGCUGAAGGAGAACUUCAAUAUCAUAUAUUUUAAAGGUUGACUCACAGUUUGGAACAAGAAUUAAAGAACCACGAACUUCAAGAGCUGCAGAGGAGACGCUUCUACAUCAGGACAUCAGAAGCUGGAACGGGGAUGGCCGGCGAGGGGCCUCUUGUUGGGGUCACAGAGAUGGGUCGCAGAGAUGGCCUGUGUGGAAGGUUGGAUUCUCACCCCACCUCUGCCCCUAGAUGUCCUG
RNAcentral lists this long non-coding RNA (486 nucleotides) under Homo sapiens (human). Its description in RNAcentral is "non-protein coding lnc-DOK7-2:3". Lineage: Eukaryota; Metazoa; Chordata; Mammalia; Primates; Hominidae. The record is from RNAcentral.